AUCCAGCUGACGAGUCCCAAAUAGGUCGAAGCGGCGCGCGUCCUGGAU
This is a non-coding RNA of Schistosoma rodhaini, 48 nucleotides long. Lineage: Eukaryota; Metazoa; Platyhelminthes; Trematoda; Strigeidida; Schistosomatidae. The record is from Rfam.